RNAcentral lists this ribosomal RNA (386 nucleotides) under uncultured bacterium. RNAcentral's name for it is "bacterial SSU rRNA". It matches the Rfam family "Archaeal small subunit ribosomal RNA", at positions 340 to 726 of the family's 1478-position model. The record is from RNAcentral.
CGCGAAAACUUUACAAUGCUGGCAACAGCGAUAAGGGGACCUCGAGUGCCAGGAUACAAUCUUGGCUGUCGUGAUGCCUAAAAAGCAUUGCAUAGCAAGGGCCGGGCAAGACCGGUGCCAGCCGCCGCGGUAACACCGGCGGCUCGAGUGGUAACCGCUAUUAUUGGGUCUAAAGGGUCUGUAGCCGGCCGGAUAAGUCUUUUGGGAAAUCCAGCUGCUCAACAGUUGGGCUUUCAGAAGAUACUGUUCGGCUCGAGGCCGGGAGAGGUGAGAGGUACUUCAGGGGUAGGGGUGAAAUCUUGUAAUCCUUGAAGGACCACCAGUGGCGAAGGCGUCUCACCAGAACGGUCCUGACGGCAAGGGACGAAAGCUAGGGGCACGAACCG